This 700-nucleotide ribosomal RNA is filed under the name Bacillaceae bacterium HP45/46a. Its description in RNAcentral is "bacterial SSU rRNA". It matches the Rfam family "Bacterial small subunit ribosomal RNA", at positions 53 to 737 of the family's 1533-position model. The record is from RNAcentral. Lineage: Bacteria; Bacillati; Bacillota; Bacilli; Caryophanales; Bacillaceae.
ACAUGGAAGUCGAGCGGAUUGAUGGGAGCUUGCUCCCUGAUAUCAGCGGCGGACGGGUGAGUAACACGUGGGUAACCUGCCUGUAAGACUGGGAUAACUCCGGGAAACCGGGGCUAAUACCGGAUWACUCAUUUCCUCGCAUGAGGAAAUGUUGAAAGGUGGCUUUUAGCUAUCACUUACAGAUGGACCCGCGGCGCAUUAGCUAGUUGGUGAGGUAACGGCUCACCAAGGCAACGAUGCGUAGCCGACCUGAGAGGGUGAUCGGCCACACUGGGACUGAGACACGGCCCAGACUCUACGGGAGGCAGCAGUAGGGAAUCUUCCGCAAUGGACGAAAGUCUGACGGAGCAACGCCGCGUGAGUGAUGAAGGUUUUCGGAUCGUAAAGCUCUGUUGUUAGGGAAGAACAAGUGCCGUUCGAAUAGGGCGGCACCUUGACGGUACCUAACCAGAAAGCCACGGCUAAUACGUGCCAGCAGCCGCGGUAAUACGUAGGUGGCAAGCGUUGUCCGGAAUUAUUGGGCGUAAAGCGCGCGCAGGUGGUUCCUUAAGUCUGAUGUGAAAGCCCACGGCUCAACCGUGGAGGGUCAUUGGAAACUGGGGAACUUGAGUGCAGAAGAGGAAAGUGGAAUUCCAAGUGUAGCGUGAAAUGCGUAGAUAUUUGGAGGAACACCAGUGGCGAAGGCGACUUUCUGGUCUGU